Molecule: ribosomal RNA, 450 nt
Filed under: uncultured bacterium
Lineage: Bacteria
Description: partial 16S ribosomal RNA
Rfam family: Bacterial small subunit ribosomal RNA
Source: RNAcentral
GUGGGGAAUAUUGGACAAUGGGCGAAAGCCUGAUCCAGCCAUGCCACGUGUGUGAAGAAGGUCUUCGGAUUGUAAAGCACUUUAAGUUGGGAGGAAGGGCAGUAAGUUAAUACCUUGCUGUUUUGGCGUUACCGACAGAAUAAGCACCGGCUAACUUCGUGCCAGCAGCCGCGGUAAUACGAAGGGUGCAAGCGUUAAUCGGAAUUACUGGGCGUAAAGCGCGCGUAGGUGGUUGUGUAAGUUGGAGGUGAAAUCCCCGGGCUCAACCUGGGAACUGCCUCCAAAACUGCAUGACUAGAGUACGGUAGAGGGUAGUGGAAUUUCCUGUGUAGCGGUGAAAUGCGUAGAUAUAGGAAGGAACACCAGUGGCGAAGGCGACUACCUGGACUGAUACUGACACUGAGGUGCGAAAGCGUGGGGAGCAAACAGGAUUAGAAACCCGUGUAGUCC